GAUGAACGCUGGCGGCGUGCCUAAUACAUGCAAGUCGAGCGAACAGACGAUGAGCUUGCUCCUCUGACGUUAGCGGCUGACGGGUGAGUAACACGUGGAUAACCUACCUAUAAGACUGGGAUAACUUCGGGAAACCGGAGCUAAUACCGGAUAAUAUAUUGAACCGCAUGGUUCAAUAGUGAAAGACGGUUUUGCUGUCACUUAUAGAUGGAUCCGCGCCGCAUUAGCUAGUUGGUAAGGUAACGGCUUACCAAGGCAACGAUGCGUAGCCGACCUGAGAGGGUGAUCGGCCACACUGGAACUGAGACACGGUCCAGACUCCUACGGGAGGCAGCAGUAGGGAAUAUUCCGCAAUGGGCGAAAGCUUGACGGAGCAACGCCGCGUGAGUGAUGAAGGUCUUCGGAUCGUAAAACUCUGUUAUUAGGGAAGAACAAAUGUGUAAGUAACUAUGCACGUCUUGACGGUACCUAAUCAGAAAGCAACGGCUAACUACGUG
RNAcentral lists this ribosomal RNA (497 nucleotides) under uncultured bacterium. Its description in RNAcentral is "partial 16S ribosomal RNA". It matches the Rfam family "Bacterial small subunit ribosomal RNA", at positions 28 to 507 of the family's 1533-position model. The record is from RNAcentral.